Molecule: ribosomal RNA, 497 nt
Filed under: uncultured bacterium
Lineage: Bacteria
Description: partial 16S ribosomal RNA
Rfam family: Bacterial small subunit ribosomal RNA
Source: RNAcentral
GAUGGACGCUGGCGGCGUGCCUAAUACAUGCAAGUCGAGCGAACAGAUAAGGAGCUUGCUCCUUUGACGUUAGCGGCGGACGGGUGAGUAACACGUGGGUAACCUACCUAUAAGACUGGGAUAACUUCGGGAAACCGGAGCUAAUACCGGAUAACAUUUGGAACCGCAUGGUUCUAAAGUGAAAGAUGGUUUUGCUAUCACUUAUAGAUGGACCCGCGCCGUAUUAGCUAGUUGGUAAGGUAACGGCUUACCAAGGCGACGAUACGUAGCCGACCUGAGAGGGUGAUCGGCCACACUGGAACUGAGACACGGUCCAGACUCCUACGGGAGGCAGCAGUAGGGAAUCUUCCGCAAAGGGCGAAAGCCUGACGGAGCAACGCCGCGUGAGUGAUGAAGGGUUUCGGCUCGUAAAACUCUGUUAUUAGGGAAGAACAAAUGUGUAAGUAACUGUGCACGUCUUGACGGUACCUAAUCAGAAAGCCACGGCUAACUACGUG